RNAcentral lists this non-coding RNA (24 nucleotides) under Rattus norvegicus (Norway rat). The record is from RNAcentral. Lineage: Eukaryota; Metazoa; Chordata; Mammalia; Rodentia; Muridae.
UGAUGACCGAUGAUUCUUCUUGCC